CCUACGGGGGGCUGCAGUCGAGAAUCUUCGGCAAUGGGCGCAAGCCUGACCGAGCGACGCCGCGUGGAGGACGAAGGCCUUCGGGUUGUAAACUCCUGUCGAGGGGGAGGAAGGCGCAAGCUUGACCGAUCCCUGGAGGAAGCACGGGCUAAGUUCGUGCCAGCAGCCGCGGUAAGACGAACCGUGCGAACGUUAUUCGGAAUCACUGGGCUUAAAGCGCGUGUAGGCGGAUGGGCGCAUCGAUCGCUGAAAUCCCCCGGCUCAACCGGGGAACU
Molecule: ribosomal RNA, 275 nt
Filed under: uncultured Singulisphaera sp.
Lineage: Bacteria; Pseudomonadati; Planctomycetota; Planctomycetia; Isosphaerales; Isosphaeraceae
Description: partial 16S ribosomal RNA
Rfam family: Bacterial small subunit ribosomal RNA
Source: RNAcentral